AUGCUUCCUUCGAGGGUAUCGUUCAUCGGAACUGUACGUGAUUGAAUGAAAGUAAGAUUCCCAUUACUUUGCUUUCACCAAUCCAGAUUAGUGUCUAAACAGGGCCCUACCCACUCCUAUAGAAGUUAAUGGUGUGUUUUUCCAUCUGCGCCAGGCUGUGCUGAGGGCUAUGCCAGAGAUGCCACAGAGAUCCAGAACAUCCAGAUAGCAGAGGGAGAUGUCUGCCACAGCCUCCCCAUCCCCAUCUACAUGGUCUUCCCCAGGCUCUUUACCUGCCCUACCCUUGAGACCAUCAACUUUAAAGUCGAGUUUGAGGUGAAUGUGGUGAUUGUCCUCCAUGACGAACAUCUGAUCACUGAGAACUUUCCUCUGAAGCUGUGCCGAGCGUGAGAGCCCAGAGCUCCACUACAAUGGAGGAUGGUCAGAGGAUAGUGCCGUUGACAUGCCUGGGCAAGAACGACCUGAAGUGACCAAGGACUCAAAGUCCAGAGAGAGCCAAGCCUACAAGUCCUGGCAGACAGCCAUAUCUGUUGGCUGGGCUUCCCUGCUCUGAAUGACAGUCUAUAAGUGCAUAAUGUUAUAUGGAUGUAUGUCUCCAGUUCAGAAAAAAAAGACUGAAAAAGCAGAGGAUGUUCAAGAUUGUGGGCUACCAUUCAAUAUAAUAGUGCAAAUGUCAAAAUGGAUCAAGUAACAUAAUUGUGUAUCAAUUCAUGAUAUCGUUGAAGCUGCAUUGUUGCAUUUCAAAAGUCUUUUGGGGAGACAUUGCCCAUCAUUAGCAGUAAUGUGGUCAAUUUCUAACUGAAUGUUGGCACUGUCAAAAUGUAGCCCAAAGAACAUUCUAAAUGGAGGCAUUUCAAACUAACAAGGUAUUCAAAAUCAACCAUGUUAUUAAAUGCUAUUUAACAUUUCAGUUAUGUUAUCAUUGUAAAUUGUGUGAAUUGGCUUAACACCAAAGAGCUGGCUCAAGGAGUUAAGCAGCUUCAGUAAAGAUUGACACAUUUUAGACUGAAUCCAUAUUCCCAAACCAUAAGAUGGCUGGCUAAAAGUAAUGAUCCGGCUUUCUGAUAUACUGUACCCCCCACCCCACCCAGGACUCAGACGUAAUGUCCCAACAGCAGAUGAAAUUUACUUUCAACGUAAGCCUUAAAUAACAGAUUUUAAUGCUGGGCUAAGGACCUGAUGCAUCUGGAGGAAACUCCCAUCUUGAUAAAUAAAAAGUAGCUACUUUCA
This is a long non-coding RNA of Oncorhynchus kisutch (coho salmon), 1230 nucleotides long. RefSeq lists it as uncharacterized. The record is from RefSeq and is a predicted model, not a curated record. The transcript has 2 exons. Lineage: Eukaryota; Metazoa; Chordata; Actinopteri; Salmoniformes; Salmonidae.